GUCUUCGUAGCUCAGUUGGUAGAGCAACAGACUCUUAAUCUGUGGGUCGAGAGUUCGAGCCUCUCCGGGGACAC
Molecule: transfer RNA, 74 nt
Filed under: compost metagenome
Description: tRNA-Lys
Rfam family: tRNA
About the family: Transfer RNA (tRNA) molecules are approximately 80 nucleotides in length. Their secondary structure includes four short double-helical elements and three loops (D, anti-codon, and T loops).
Source: RNAcentral